GACAGACAGAUGGACACUCUCAGGUAUGGACAGACAGGCGGACACUCAUGUAUGGACAGAUGGACACUCAGGUAUGGACAGACAGAUGGACACUCUCAGGUAUGAACAGAUGGACAGACACUCUGACUAACUGAGGGACUCUGGUUCAUGUUUAAUGGUGGAUAUGAGUGAAGGUGUAUGAAGCUGAUUGUGUCUUUGUCUCUUCCUCCAGGAUGGACCAUGGUGGACCGCAGAGACUGAAACCUGG
Scomber japonicus (chub mackerel) is the source of this 247-nucleotide long non-coding RNA. RefSeq lists it as uncharacterized. The record is from RefSeq and is a predicted model, not a curated record. NCBI's taxonomy places the organism in Eukaryota, Metazoa, Chordata, Actinopteri, Scombriformes, Scombridae. The transcript is spliced from 3 exons.